Serendipita vermifera MAFF 305830 is the source of this 82-nucleotide transfer RNA. It matches the Rfam family "tRNA". Rfam says of the family: Transfer RNA (tRNA) molecules are approximately 80 nucleotides in length. The record is from Rfam. Lineage: Eukaryota; Fungi; Basidiomycota; Agaricomycetes; Sebacinales; Serendipitaceae.
GGGCUUGUGGCGGAGUGGUUACCGCGUUGGUCUUCGAUUAAGUCGCAACCAAAGGUCCUCGGUUCGACCCCGGGCAGGCUCG